Molecule: ribosomal RNA, 491 nt
Filed under: uncultured bacterium
Lineage: Bacteria
Description: partial 16S ribosomal RNA
Rfam family: Bacterial small subunit ribosomal RNA
Source: RNAcentral
AUUGAACGCUGGCGGCAUGCUUUACACAUGAAGUCGAACGGUAACAGGCCUUCGGGUGCUGACGAGUGGCGAACGGGUGAGUAAUGCAUCGGAACGUGCCCAGAGGUGGGGGAUAACGCAGCGAAAGCUGUGCUAAUACCGCAUGUGAUCUGAGGAUGAAAGCGGGGGACCAAGCAGCAAUGUUUGGCCUCGCGCCUCUGGAGCGGCCGAUGUCAGAUUAGGUAGUUGGUGGGGUAAAGGCCUACCAAGCCGACGAUCUGUAGCUGGUCUGAGAGGACGACCAGCCACACUGGGACUGAGACACGGCCCAGACUCCUACGGGAGGCAGCAGUGGGGAAUUUUGGACAAUGGGCGCAAGCCUGAUCCAGCAAUGCCGCGUGCGGGAAGAAGGCCUUCGGGUUGUAAACCGCUUUUGUACGGAACGAAAAGGCUCUGGCUAAUACCUGGGGCUGAUGACGGUACCGUAAGAAUAAGCACCGGCUAACUACGUG